CCUACGGGAGGCUGCAGUGAGGAAUAUUGGUCAAUGGACGAGAGUCUGAACCAGCCAAGUAGCGUGAAGGAUGACUGCCCUAUGGGUUGUAAACUUCUUUUAUAUGGAAAUAAAAUGUUCCACGUGUGGGAUUUUGUAUGUACCAUAUGAAUAAGGAUCGGCUAACUCCGUGCCAGCAGCCGCGGUAAUACGGAGGAUCCGAGCGUUAUCCGGCUUUAUUGGGUUUAACGGGAGCGUAGGUGGAUUGUUAAGUCAGUUGUGAAAGUUUGCGGCUCAACCGUAAAAUUGCAGUUGAAACUGGCAGUCUUGAGUACAGUAGAGGUGGGCGGAAUGCGUGGUGUAGCGGUGAAAUGCUUAGAUAUCACGAAGAACUCCGAUUGCGAAGGCAGUUCACUGGACUGCAACUGACACUGAGGCUCGAAAGUGUGGGUAUCAAACAGGAUUAGAUACCCCUGUAGUC
RNAcentral lists this ribosomal RNA (460 nucleotides) under uncultured bacterium. Its description in RNAcentral is "partial 16S ribosomal RNA". It matches the Rfam family "Bacterial small subunit ribosomal RNA", at positions 338 to 795 of the family's 1533-position model. The record is from RNAcentral.